UGGGGAAUAUUGGCACAAUGGGCGCAAGGCCUGAUGCCAGCCAUGCCGCGUGUGUGAAGAAGGCCUUCGGGUUGUAAAGCACUUUCAGCGAGGAGGAAGGUGGUGAGCUUAAUACGCUCAUCAAUUGACGUUACUCGCAGAAGAAGCACCGGCUAACUCCGUGCCAGCAGCCGCGGUAAUACGGAGGGUGCAAGCGUUAAUCGGAAUUACUGGGCGUAAAGCGCACGCAGGCGGUUUUGUUAAGUCAGAUGUGAAAUCCCCGGGCUCAACCUGGGAACUGCAUUUGAAACUGGCAAGCUAGAGUCUCGUAGAGGGGGGCUAGAAUUCCAGGUGUAGCGGUGAAAUGCGUAGAGAUCUGGAGGAAUACCGGUGGCGAAGGC
This 380-nucleotide ribosomal RNA is filed under the name uncultured bacterium. RNAcentral's name for it is "partial 16S ribosomal RNA". It matches the Rfam family "Bacterial small subunit ribosomal RNA", at positions 355 to 722 of the family's 1533-position model. The record is from RNAcentral.